UGAGCAAUCUGCCCUUCUCUUUGGAAUAAGCGUUGGAAACGACGUCUAAUGCCGAAUACGACCUCCUUUCGCAUGAUCGGAGGUGGAAAGCUCCGGCGGAGAAGGAUGAGCUCGCGGCCUAUCAGCUAGUUGGUGUGGGUAAUGGCCCACCAAGGCGACGACGGGUAGCCGGCCUGAGAGGGUGACCCGGCCACACUGGGACUGAGACACGGCCCAGACCUCCGUACGGGGAGG
RNAcentral lists this ribosomal RNA (234 nucleotides) under uncultured bacterium. Its description in RNAcentral is "partial 16S ribosomal RNA". It matches the Rfam family "Bacterial small subunit ribosomal RNA", at positions 118 to 347 of the family's 1533-position model. The record is from RNAcentral.